This is a long non-coding RNA of Odocoileus virginianus texanus, 1125 nucleotides long. RefSeq lists it as uncharacterized. NCBI's taxonomy places the organism in Eukaryota, Metazoa, Chordata, Mammalia, Artiodactyla, Cervidae. The record is from RefSeq and is a predicted model, not a curated record.
CUUGACCUCACUUCCGGCUCCGCCCAGAAAGCGCAGGCAUCUGCCCGGCUUGAGGUCUGUGGGAUUCCGGUGCCGCCCACCUUGCCGGUCCGCCGGCGCACUGGUGUGUCAAGGAAACACACCACCACCACCACCCCCCCCCCCCCAACCAAAUGAAAACUGCUGCCCACAAGAACCACAGGCCCUUGACUAGCUGAAACCAGAAAAUUGAUGAUACUUGAAACUUCAUCUUGAUGCCAACCGAUCUGAGAACUGUCCAUGGAUCAUGCCCUGCCCCUUGAAGACUAUAAAAUUCCUCACUACCCCCCUCCAGGGUGAAUCACACAGUCUUGAGGGCAUUAGCCCAGUGUGGCUCCUUUUGCCUGGCAAAGCAAUAAAAGCUACUCUUUUCUACUUCACCCAAAACUCUGUCUCCAAGUUUCUAUUACUAUUUGGCACCAAUGAACAGUGGCUGAGUUUCCGAGAGAGCCCGGGCAGACAGUUGGUAAGGGAGCUGACACUCCAGGUGAGCUGACGCAGAACAGGAGUGGACAGUUGUGGAGAGCAGACCUUGGAAGAACUGCAUACAUGGGUGCACAAAUAUACGCUCCGAGGAGAGCCAGGAGCGAAAGGCACACAGGGGACCUGCUUCAACCAGGAAGGAGAUGAGCCGAACAGCUUCCUUUAGUUAGGAAGGCUGAGAAAGUUCUGACCUGCCCACUUUCCUUGCCUGGAAAUUGUACCUCUCUCCACUUUCACGUGAGGUAAAGCAGUAGAUAAACUGAUCCCAGAGCACCUGCAUCACAGCAGCACCAAACAUGUGGCCUCUCUCUGCCUCUCCUGCCCCAAAGAUGGCCUAACUGAUGUCUUCAACUGACGCGACAUGCUGGUGUAACCAGAACAAGUCCACCCCCUCUCUCCCUGAGGAGGCCACCCAUCCUGGCUGAGGAACCAGCUGGAGGGAGCCCAGGCAUCCGGCCGGAGGGUCAGUCUCUGAUGUGGGACAGGGAUACAGACACCCCUCCCAGGCAGCUGGCAACAACCAUGAGAGGAGAACAGCAAGGAGGAAGAAGCCAUGCAGAGCCUGGAGUGUGGAGGCAGGGAAGGUAGAGAGGUCGGUUGAAGCUGCGCCUUGCAGAACAUGAC